This 392-nucleotide ribosomal RNA is filed under the name uncultured bacterium. RNAcentral describes it as "partial 16S ribosomal RNA". It matches the Rfam family "Bacterial small subunit ribosomal RNA", at positions 523 to 918 of the family's 1533-position model. The record is from RNAcentral.
AUACGGAAGGUCCGGGCGUUAUCCGGAUUUAUUGGGUUUAAAGGGAGCGCAGGCGGAGAUGCAAGCGUGACGUCAAAUUUCGGGGCUCAACCCCGUCUCGCGUCGCGAAUUGCGUCCCUUGGUUGCGGGAAGGGGAGGCGGAACUCGUGGUGUAGCGGUGAAAUGCAUAGAUAUCACGAAGAACUCCGAUCGCGAAGGCCGCCGGCCGGGCCGCGACUGACGCUGAAGCUCGAAGGUGCGGGUAUCGAACAGGAUUAGAUACCCUGGUAGUCCGCACAGUAAACGAUGGAUACUCGCUGUCGGCGAUAUACGGUCGGUGGCCAAGCGAAAGCGUUAAGUUUCCCACCUGGGGAGUACGCCGGCAACGGUGAAACUCAAAUGAAUUGACGGGG